GGAGGGUACAGCUCAGCGGCAGAGCCCAUGCUUAGCAUGCACGAGGUCCUGGGUUCAAUCCCCCAGUUCCUCCA
Molecule: non-coding RNA, 74 nt
Organism: Camelus ferus (Wild Bactrian camel)
Lineage: Eukaryota; Metazoa; Chordata; Mammalia; Artiodactyla; Camelidae
Source: Rfam